GGACGAACGCUGGCGGCGUGCUUAACACAUGCAAGUCGGACGGUCAGCACUGGAAGGUUCGCUGGAAGGUGCUGGUAGUGGCGGACGGGUGAGUAACGCGUGAGGACAUGGCUCCAGGAGGGGGAUAACGUUUGGAAACGGACGCUAAGACCCCAUAAGCCGGAAGGUGAAAGUGGGCAACCAGCCUGGAGAGUGACUCGCGUCCUAUCAGCUAGUUGGUGGGGUGAAGGCCUACCAAGGCGAUGACGGGUAGCCGACCUGAGAGGGUGGCCGGCCACACUGGAACUGAGAUACGGUACAGACUCCUACGGGAGGCAGCAGUGGGGAAUAUUGGGCAAUGGGGGAAACCCUGACCCAGCGACGCCGCGUGAGGGAAGACGGCCUUCGGGUUGUAAACCUCUUUUGUACGGGAAGAAGGAAGUGACGGUACUGUACGAAUAAGUCCCGGCUAACUACGUGCCAGCAGCCGCGGUAAUACGUAGGGGACGAGCGUUGUCCGGAAUUACUGGGCGUAAAGGGCGCGCAGGCUGUGCUGCAAGUCAGCUGUGAAAUGUCUGGGCUUAACCCGGGCAUGCGGUUGAGACUGCAGUGCUGGAGUGCUGUAGAGGCAAGUGGAAUUCCCAGUGUAGCGGUGAAAUGCGUAGAUAUCGGGAGGAACACCAGUGGCGAAGGCGACUUCCUGGCACAAUACUGACGCUCAUGUGCGAAAGCUAGGGUAGCGAACGGGAUUAGAUACCCCGGUAGUCCUAGCCGUAAACGAUGGAUACUAGGUGUGGGUGUCGCAGGGCAUCCGUGCCGCAGCUAACGCGUUAAGUAUCCCGCCUGGGGACUACGGUCGCAAGACUGAAACUCAAAGGAAUUGACGGGGGCCCGCACAAGCGGUGGAGCACGUGGUUUAAUUCGAUGCAAA
This 910-nucleotide ribosomal RNA is filed under the name uncultured bacterium. Its description in RNAcentral is "bacterial SSU rRNA". It matches the Rfam family "Bacterial small subunit ribosomal RNA", at positions 27 to 960 of the family's 1533-position model. The record is from RNAcentral.